RNAcentral lists this ribosomal RNA (433 nucleotides) under uncultured bacterium. RNAcentral describes it as "partial 16S ribosomal RNA". It matches the Rfam family "Bacterial small subunit ribosomal RNA", at positions 29 to 507 of the family's 1533-position model. The record is from RNAcentral.
AGCGAACGCUGGCGGCAGGCCUAACACAUCCAAGUCGAACGGAUCCUUCGGGAUUAGUGGCGGACGGGUGAGUAACACGUGGGAACGUGCCCUUUGGUUCGGAACAACUCAGGGAAACUUGAGCUAAUACCGGAUGUGCCCUUCGGGGGAAAGAUUUAUCGCCAUUGGAGCGGCCCGCGUCUGAUUAGCUAGUUGGUGAGGUAACGGCCCACCAAGGCGACGAUCAGUAGCUGGUCUGAGAGGAUGAUCAGCCACACUGGGACUGAGACACGGCCCAGACUCCUACGGGAGGCAGCAGUGGGGAAUCUUGCGCAAUGGGCGAAAGCCUGACGCAGCCAUGCCGCGUGAAUGAUGAAGGUCUUAGGAUUGUAAAAUUCUUUCAGCGGGGACGAUAAUGACGGUACCCGCAGAAGAAGCUCCGGCUAACUUCGUG